This 94-nucleotide small RNA is filed under the name Flavobacterium noncentrifugens. Its description in RNAcentral is "Flavo-1 RNA". It matches the Rfam family "Flavo-1 RNA". Lineage: Bacteria; Pseudomonadati; Bacteroidota; Flavobacteriia; Flavobacteriales; Flavobacteriaceae. The record is from Rfam by way of RNAcentral.
CCCUAGCCCUGAUGGAAGCGGCAUCCUUUUUUAAAUUUGCCGAAGCGCAGCGAAGGUAAAUUUAAAAAAGAUACAGCGGACAGCGGGAAUAGCU